CGGGGUGUAGGAGAAGGAGAAACCAAGAGACAGUUUGAAUAUAUAGGUAAAUGAAUCAGCCCAUGACUAGCAAAAAAAAAAAAAAAAAAAAAAAAAAGGACAGAAAGAGGAAAAAGAAAGAAUGUUUUUCUUCAAAAAUGCUCUAACAUAUAUAGACAAAAUUUAGUGAUUAAAAAAUGUUUCAAUUAUUUUUAAAGGUAAAAUUAACUUGACUAUACCUCCUUGUCGACCAGCUUUAUUCCGCAGGACAUCUUAAACAGUGCAGGAAAACAAAAUAAUUGAAUCUCCCUGAUGAAAAACGGCCAGCAAGACUCUCCUGAUUCUGCCAGAUAUUGAUUUCUCUUGUCUAAUGUAUCAAAACUUGGUCAUCACAGUAACAACUGGAGGAGACAGAACAUGAAGGUGGAACCUAUGUCUGAAGUCUCUGGUGCCAAUCCUGUGCUAGGUAUCAAAUUAUAACACAAGUAAGAAGGAAGAUUUCUUUUCUAACCCAAUGAAGAAUAGCAGUGACUGAAAUACCAACAACUCGUCAACCAAGAAUCUAUGCUGCUGCCUGAAUAGAGAAACUAAUCCAGGAUUGAACAGAAUUCAUUGCCAGAGAUGGCCACAGCCACUGGUGUUUGAAGUGGCAGACUGCAGACGAAAACACAGCACAAGGGCAGUCCUAAUUUAUGUAAUUUUAGACCUUAUAGCAAGUACAACAGUAAAAACUUUUCCCUUCUUGAUUACACACACUACUA
This 740-nucleotide long non-coding RNA is filed under the name Apteryx rowi (Okarito brown kiwi). RNAcentral's name for it is "lncRNA (ENSARWG00000011183.1)". Lineage: Eukaryota; Metazoa; Chordata; Aves; Apterygiformes; Apterygidae. The record is from RNAcentral.